This 72-nucleotide small RNA is filed under the name Arabidopsis thaliana (thale cress). RNAcentral's name for it is "ATSL142680". Lineage: Eukaryota; Viridiplantae; Streptophyta; Magnoliopsida; Brassicales; Brassicaceae. The record is from RNAcentral.
UAUAGAUGUAGGGAUAGAUACAGUGAUACAUAAAUAAGAAAGAUGAGUGGAAACUGCAAAGAAAGUGAAAGU